RNAcentral lists this long non-coding RNA (311 nucleotides) under Olea europaea (common olive). RNAcentral's name for it is "long non-coding RNA (OEUR_LNC005249)". Lineage: Eukaryota; Viridiplantae; Streptophyta; Magnoliopsida; Lamiales; Oleaceae. The record is from RNAcentral.
AAAAUCGAUUCCAGUCAUAACACAAAUACAUCAGAAAUUAUUCAAAAUAUUUAAAUUUUAUAGAAAAUUAAAAGUAUUUUUGCCUCUUCCGAUUUAUUCUAUAGAACGAAAAAUGGAUAGUCAGAGAAAGAAGUGGAAAUGACUUCGAUUAUUGUGGAUGCAGAGUCUUGCCAGUCGAAUGGGAGUGGCAAGGUUAAAGGGUUCAAAAUGGAGGAGGAGGAAAUUCUUGAGGGAGGAGAAGAGAAAAUAUGAAAUGAAAUGGGGUAUUAGUUAAGCUAUAAGAAAGAAAACCGAACAAAAUAGAGAAAAAC